GUCCUUUCAGAAUCAAGAACCUGUCACACACUGAAGGUCAACGGGUUCGCCACUGCGCAAACAUGUCUACAAUAUAUAUAAAACCUGUUAAGAUAAUGUUUUGAGAAAGGAGUGUAUAUAUUUGGCCUGGAGGAGCGGUUUUAUGCGCUGACUGAAUGGAAGUUUUUUUACUCCGCUGGUCUCAGUUGGUCUCCGGAAGAAAUUACAAGUCCUCACCGUCCAAGACCGAGUACAAAUGUUUCCGACACUGACACAAGACCGAGACACUCAAUAUGUGGUCUGGAGACCAGUCUCGAGUACUACAACAUUGACACACACUCUUACCAGAAAGCAUGCUCCGUUCAUGCUGGUCAUCAGGAUGCUGGUCAUGAGAACGUCACACAUCAGGACAGAGGUCACACUCACUUUCUUAAUGUAUGCAAAUGAGCUGGGUCUAUAUUCAUAAAGUGCGUGAGUGCUGUUCCAGGACCAGUUUUGGCUUUUAGAUUCUAAUGAAUGGACUGGAAGAACCUGGUCCUUGAUCAGCAGUCCUACUCUGAGAGGUAUCAUACAGACCCUGAUCUGUCUAUUAUUUAAUUUAAAAUGUGUAUUUAUUUAACUGAUCUGUCUCAUAUUAACUGCUGGCACUCAUAUGGGCAAUUAAAUUCUAAAACAAAAUAAAAAGAAAGAUGAGAAUUGUAAUUCUGAUGAACUACUGAUGUUAAGAGCUACAUUAUCUACUGAAGAACACAGGUCCUACAUUGUCCACGCUCACCCUCUUCAUAUAGUUAGCUACACUGCGGGCGUUCCACCCCAUCACCUCUGAGCUGGACAAAACUCGUCUUCUUCUGUCCAAAGCUUUCCUCUAGUCUUAUUAAGCCUUGAGUCCAAAGCUCUUUUACUAGAUCUAAGGCCCUUCUGUUGGUUAGAGUCCAAGGCCCUUCUGUUGGUUAGAGUCCAAGGCCCUUCUGUUGGUUAGAGUCCAAGGCCCUUCUGUUGGUUAGAGUCCAAUGCCCUUCUGUUGGUUAGAGUCCAAGGCCCUUCUGUUAGUAGGUCCAAUGCCCUUCUGUUGGUUAGAGUCCAAGGCCCUUCUGUUGGUUAGAGUCCAAGGCCCUUCUGUUGGUUAGAGUCCAAGGCCCUUCUGUUGGUUAGAGUCCAAGGCCCUUCUGUUAGUAGGUCCAAUGCCCUUCUCUUAGUAUGGUCCACCGUUUUUGUAAAGUCCUUGGCUUUUCUGAAGUGUGAGUAAGUUCCAUGGCU
Molecule: long non-coding RNA, 1236 nt
Filed under: Salmo salar (Atlantic salmon)
Lineage: Eukaryota; Metazoa; Chordata; Actinopteri; Salmoniformes; Salmonidae
Description: lncRNA (ENSSSAG00000119511.1)
Source: RNAcentral